AUUCUAAAAUGAAUUAAAUUGUUUGGGUUUUUUUUCUCAUAAAUUUACACACAAUACCCCAUAGUGUAAAGCAAAUAAAUGGUUUUCAGAAUUGUUUGCAAAUUUAUAAAAAAUAAUUUAACGGAGAUAUCACAGAACGAUGGAGGCCACUGUGUUCUUCGGGACCUUCAAUGCUGCAGAAAUCUUUUGGUACCCUUCCCCAGAUCUGUGCCUCGACAUAAUUCCUUCGACCUCACGGCUUCGUUUUUGCUCUGACUUGCACUGUCAACUGUGGGACCUUAUAUAGACAGGUGUGUGUCUUUCCAAAUCACGUCCAAUCAAUUGAAUUUACCACAGGUGGACUCCCAUCAAGUUGUAGAAACAUCUAAAGGAUGAUCAAUGGAAACAGGAUGCAGCGGAGCUAAAUUUCGAGUCUCAUAGCAAAGGGUCUGAAUACUUAUGUAAAUAAGGUACUUUUAUUUUAUACAUUUGCCAACAUUUCUAAAAAAUGAUUUUCACCUUGUCGUUAUGGGGUAUGUGUGUACAUUGAUGAGGGAAAAAUGAUUGAAUUCAUAUUAGAAUAAGGCUGUAACGUAACAAAAUGUGGGAAAUGUCAAGGGGUCUGAAUACUUUCCGAAUGCACUAUACAUGUAAACCAUUACAGGAGAGCGUGUGUGACCUGCGCCAGUAUUCAUAAAGCAUCUCAGAGCACGACUGCUGAUCUAGGAUCAAGUCCCCCAUGUCCAUGUGAUCUUAUUCAUUAUGAUCUAAAAGGUAAAACUGGUCCUAAAUCACCACUUCUACUUUGAGAUGCUUGACACAUAUGGCCCCUGUUCUCUUUAGCCUCCUAACAGCCCACCUAGUGGAGAAGUAAGCCCACCUUCCUCCGGACUGCCUUCCUUCCCAAGAGGAAUGUAGCCUACAGAACCUGAUGUUAAAAGAGCUGGAAUCUCCCUUUAUCAGCCCUACACAUACCAAAGAUAACAGGCGAGAUAGCCUCUUUCAUUCCAUUCCCACGCCUUCAUCAUUGUUAGCAGGGCAGGCCCCAGGCAUAAGUGACAUAAGUGAUUGCUUAGGAACUGCUCUCAACUUACUUUGGAGAGUUGGAAUAGUAGAAUACACAAAGUGCAAGUUCAAAAUGGGGUUGUGCAUUAGCUGUUUUUCUCUUGUUAUGACAGUUACUGACAAUCACUCAAUAUCAUUAACAUGGCAUAAAUCAUGGCACAAUCUUUAGAAUAUCAAGACAUUAGCUUUAAAACUGCACAGAUUUAUCUCCACCCUAUGGCAAAAUGGGAAUAAUUGCAAGAAAUGUGUUAUAAAAGUGCUAAAUGUUCUCUCCGCCCCAUGGCAAAAAGUGUAGAACUGCAGGAUAUUUACUUUAAAACUGAAAAAUUUCUCUCAGACGUCAAGAGGAAGCCACUAAAAAGUGUUUCCCCCUUCCACCAAAUCUUGCCUUGGGCCCCCAAAAGGUUAGGGCUGGCCUUGAUCGCCAGGAACGCUUGCCUUGGGCCCCCAAAAGAUUAGGGCUGGCCUUGAUCGCCAGGAACGCUUGCCUUGGGCCCCCAAAAGGUUAGGGCUGGCCUUGAUCGUCAGGAACGCUUGCCUUGGGCCCCCAAAAGGUUAGGGCUGGCCUUGAUCGUCAGGAACGCUUGCCUUGGGCCCCCAAAAGGUUAGGGCUGGCCUUGAUCGUCAGGAACGCUUGCCUUGGGCCCCCAAAAGGUUAGGGCUGGCCUUGAUCGUCAGGAACGCUUGCCUUGGGCCCCCAAAAGGUUAGGGCUGGCCUUGAUCGUCAGGAACGCUUGCCUUGGGCCCCCAAAAGGUUAGGGCUGGCCUUGAUCGUCAGGAACGCUUGCCUUGGGCCCCCAAAAGGUUAGGGCUGGCCUUGAUCGCCAGGAACGCUUGCCUUGGGCCCCCAAAAGGUUAGGGCUGGCCUUGAUCGUCAGGAACGCUUGCCUUGGGUCCCCAAAAGGUUAGGGCUGGCCUUGAUCGUCAGGAACGCUUGCCUUGGGCCCCCAAAAGGUUAGGGCUGGCCUUGAUCGUCAGGAACGCUUGCCUUGCCAGCUGACUGUUCCCUUAUCGGCAGCCUUGCUGCUCUUAUUUGUAGAUUUUCUUUCUAUUCAUUCCAGCUUUCAUUUUUGCCCUUGAUCAUGACACUCCCUCAGUUGAGGCAUUUUUUCACGGGUCAAGCGAGGAUGGAGAAAGCCUGACCGAGGGUAUGACAGGUUAUUUCUGGGGCCCUAUUGUUCUGACCCAUGGCUGAUGUCAUUAAGUGUUAUUAACUGACUCAUAGGAGUGCGAGAGUCCGGACUACGGGUAGACUUCUGAGCCCAUUGUGUCCAGCUCCCACUUCCUUCCCUUCGCCACACAUUCCUGGCUGUGGUGCCCAC
Oncorhynchus keta (chum salmon) is the source of this 2366-nucleotide long non-coding RNA. RefSeq lists it as uncharacterized. The transcript is spliced from 3 exons. The record is from RefSeq and is a predicted model, not a curated record. Lineage: Eukaryota; Metazoa; Chordata; Actinopteri; Salmoniformes; Salmonidae.